This 880-nucleotide ribosomal RNA is filed under the name gamma proteobacterium SAB1. RNAcentral describes it as "bacterial SSU rRNA". It matches the Rfam family "Bacterial small subunit ribosomal RNA", at positions 57 to 937 of the family's 1533-position model. Lineage: Bacteria; Pseudomonadati; Pseudomonadota; Gammaproteobacteria. The record is from RNAcentral.
GCAGUCGAGCGGCAGCACGGGUACUUGUACCUGGUGGCGAGCGGCGGACGGGUGAGUAAUACCUAGGAAUCUGCCUGGUAGUGGGGGAUAACGUUCGGAAACGGACGCUAAUACCGCAUACGUCCUACGGGAGAAAGCAGGGGACCUUCGGGCCUUGCGCUAUCAGAUGAGCCUAGGUCGGAUUAGCUAGUUGGUGAGGUAAUGGCUCACCAAGGCUACGAUCCGUAACUGGUCUGAGAGGAUGAUCAGUCACACUGGAACUGAGACACGGUCCAGACUCCUACGGGAGGCAGCAGUGGGGAAUAUUGGACAAUGGGCGAAAGCCUGAUCCAGCCAUGCCGCGUGUGUGAAGAAGGUCUUCGGAUUGUAAAGCACUUUAAGUUGGGAGGAAGGGCCGUUACCUAAUACGUGAUGGUUUUGACGUUACCGACAGAAUAAGCACCGGCUAACUCUGUGCCAGCAGCCGCGGUAAUACAGAGGGUGCAAGCGUUAAUCGGAAUUACUGGGCGUAAAGCGCGCGUAGGUGGUUCGUUAAGUUGGAUGUGAAAUCCCCGGGCUCAACCUGGGAACUGCAUUCAAAACUGUCGAGCUAGAGUAUGGUAGAGGGUGGUGGAAUUUCCUGUGUAGCGGUGAAAUGCGUAGAUAUAGGAAGGAACACCAGUGGCGAAGGCGACCACCUGGACUGAUACUGACACUGAGGUGCGAAAGCGUGGGGAGCAACAGGAUUAGAUACCCUGGUAGUCCACGCCGUAAACGAUGUCAACUAGCCGUUGGGAGCCUUGAGCUCUUAUGGCGCAGCUAACGCAUUAAGUUGACCGCCUGGGGAGUACGGCCGCAAGGUUAAACUCAAUGAAUUGACGGGGGCCGCACAGCGGUGGAC